Long non-coding RNA from Calidris pugnax (ruff), 329 nucleotides. RefSeq lists it as uncharacterized. The record is from RefSeq and is a predicted model, not a curated record. Lineage: Eukaryota; Metazoa; Chordata; Aves; Charadriiformes; Scolopacidae. The transcript has 3 exons.
GCUUCCCUGGCAAAGUGGAAGUCAGAAGCCACCAGGCAGAGUGACCCUCUCACAGACCACUUAUCUUCACAGGAAACUGUUUCGGGAUUAGAGGGAAGUUAUGCAAGGUCUGCUGGAUGAUAUCAGCACAUCUGGACAGCUCAGCAACUGGGGAGUUUUGAGGAAAGAGAAGACAAACAGAGAAGAAACUCGGGGUUUUCUCAGCUUAGGGCAGGCACAAGGAUGCCGGCAUUUCAGGUCUCAGCCUGCCACUAGUGGUCCUCUGCUUGCAAGCCUGUCCCCAUGCCCCAGCUGAUAGCCUUGUGUUGCUGCCUGGAGGAACUUGACCG